GCUGGGUGUGGUGGUGCACACCUGUAAUCCUUCAGCUGGGGAGGCUGAGGCAGGAGGACCUCGAGUUCCAAGCCAGCCUCAGCAGAAGUGAGGCCCUCAGCAACUCAGUGAGACCCUGUCUCUA
This 124-nucleotide small RNA is filed under the name Marmota monax (woodchuck). Lineage: Eukaryota; Metazoa; Chordata; Mammalia; Rodentia; Sciuridae. The record is from RNAcentral.